AUGGAGCAGCCAGACGGCAUCUCAGGGGACGUCAGGGCACAGAUCUCACAGACCUCCUCUACCCGCAGGCAAGUGGGAGCAGAAAUGGGCUCCUGCCGUGUCCCUGCUUCAGAGACACUCACCAUGGUUGGGAUGGAAGAUGUAGGUCAAGCCCCACGGCCCCUCUGUUUCCUUCCAGCCCAAGCGUCUGUGCAACCUAGUCCUGCCCUUGGAAGAUUUACGGAGCAGCAGGCCACGAUGCCAAAGGAGGACCUAGCCCAGUAUUUGGAGCCAAAUCAACGUCAUGGAGAUCACAGAUUUAAUGAUUGUAAUAAUUGCAAAAAGAAGAGAACAAAACUAUUUUCUGCACCGCGAUUUCUUCCAAGACUGAGUGGAGAACCUGCAUCGAGGCCACGGCUGCUGGACACCAUCAUGGGAAGGACACCCUGGCAACUUGAAGGGCUUGGCGAGGGGUGCAGCACCCACCCAGCUCUGCUGCGUGGUGUCCUCGGCCAAGCACCUUGUUCCUGCCCAACACCAAGACUUUUCAGCCAGAGAAAAGGUAUUGCUGGUGCUUGGUGGGAUCGUAGGUGUAUUUUCCUGUUCAUUACUUGGAUGGAGACCAUUCAAAUCCCUGGUCCAUGGGCCAUGCAGCCCCAGUUACUGCUGGUUAUUGAACCCCCAGGACCAUCAGCCCCUGCUUGGUGCUGCGCAGAGCCAAGCAGUGCCUUUCAGCUGAGGGUGACCUGGAGGGGAAGGCUGACCAUCUCUAAUCAUUACCAAUCCUCUGCACUUUAUUUUUAAUCAAAGCAGAUCCCUAGACUGUUUCCAAUACUUUUUAAUGGGCAAAAAGGGGCUUCGAUUAUAAAGACAAUAACGUUAAAUUAUUUAAGGGCCUGGA
Molecule: long non-coding RNA, 880 nt
Filed under: Calidris pugnax (ruff)
Lineage: Eukaryota; Metazoa; Chordata; Aves; Charadriiformes; Scolopacidae
Description: lncRNA (ENSCPUG00000012155.1)
Source: RNAcentral